Molecule: ribosomal RNA, 430 nt
Filed under: uncultured bacterium
Lineage: Bacteria
Description: partial 16S ribosomal RNA
Rfam family: Bacterial small subunit ribosomal RNA
Source: RNAcentral
GUGGGGAAUAUUGCACAAUGGGCGCAAGCCUGAUGCAGCAACGCCGCGUGAGGGAUGACGGCCUUCGGGUUGUAAACCUCUUUUAGUAGGGAAGAAGCGUAAGUGACGGUACCUGCAGAAAAAGCACCGGCUAACUACGUGCCAGCAGCCGCGGUAAUACGUAGGGUGCAAGCGUUGUCCGGAAUUAUUGGGCGUAAAGAGCUCGUAGGCGGCUUGUCGCGUCUGCCGUGAAAACCCAGGGCUCAACUCUGGGCGUGCGGUGGGUACGGGCAGGCUAGAGUGCGGUAGGGGAGAUUGGAAUUCCUGGUGUAGCGGUGGAAUGCGCAGAUAUCAGGAGGAACACCGAUGGCGAAGGCAGAUCUCUGGGCUGUAACUGACGCUGAGGAGCGAAAGCAUGGGGAGCGAACAGGAUUAGAAACCCUAGUAGUCC